ACUCAGCCUUGAGGGCACUUUCUGGUGCCAGAAUGAAAGUGCUGUCAUAGCUGAGGUC
Molecule: microRNA precursor, 58 nt
Filed under: Homo sapiens (human)
Lineage: Eukaryota; Metazoa; Chordata; Mammalia; Primates; Hominidae
Description: Hsa-Mir-430-P8b_pre stem-loop
Source: RNAcentral